UACGGGGGGGGCAAGCGUUGUUCGGAAUUACUGGGCGUAAAGGGCUCGUAGGUGGCCAACUAAGUCAGACGUGAAAUCCCUCAGCUUAACUGGGGAACUGCGUCUGAUACUGGAUGGCUUGAGUUUGGGAGAGGGAUGCGGAAUUCCAGGUGUAGCGGUGAAAUGCGUAGAUAUCUGGAGGAACAUCGGUGGCGAAGGCGGCAUCCUGGACCGGUAUUGACGCUGAGGCGCGAAAGCCAGGGGAGCAAACGGG
This 253-nucleotide ribosomal RNA is filed under the name uncultured bacterium. Its description in RNAcentral is "partial 16S ribosomal RNA". It matches the Rfam family "Bacterial small subunit ribosomal RNA", at positions 524 to 776 of the family's 1533-position model. The record is from RNAcentral.